CAGUCGCCGCGGUAACACGUAGGUGGCAAGCGUUGUCCGGAAUUAUUGGGCGUAAAGGGCUCGCAGGCGGUUUCUUAAGUCUGAUGUGAAAGCCCCCGGCUCAACCGGGGAGGGUCAUUGGAAACUGGGAAACUUGAGUGCAGAAGAGGAGAGUGGAAUUCCACGUGUAGUGGUGAAAUGCGUAGAGAUGUGGAGGAACACCAGUGGCGAAGGCGACUCUCUGGUCUGUAACUGACGCUGAGGAGCGAAAGCGUGGGGAGCGAACAGGAUUAGAUACCCGCGUAGUCCCUGUCUCUUAUAC
Molecule: ribosomal RNA, 301 nt
Filed under: uncultured bacterium
Lineage: Bacteria
Description: partial 16S ribosomal RNA
Rfam family: Bacterial small subunit ribosomal RNA
Source: RNAcentral